AGUGAACGCUGGCGGUAGGCCUAACACAUGCAAGUCGAACGGCAGCACAGUAAGAGCUUGCUCUUACGGGUGGCGAGUGGCGGACGGGUGAGGAAUACAUCGGAAUCUACUUUUUCGUGGGGGAUAACGUAGGGAAACUUACGCUAAUACCGCAUACGACCUACGGGUGAAAGCAGGGGAUCUUCGGACCUUGCGCGAUUGAAUGAGCCGAUGUCGGAUUAGCUGGUUAGCGGGGUAAAGGCCCACCAAGGCGACGAUCCGUAGCUGGUCUGAGAGGAUGAUCAGCCACACUGGAACUGAGACACGGUCCAGACGCCUACGGGAGGCAGCAGUGGGGAAUAUGGGACAAUGGGCGCAAGCCUGAUCCAGCCAUACCGCGUGGGUGAAGAAGGCCUUCGGGUUGUAAAGCCCUUUUGUUGGGAAAGAAAAGCAGCAGGUUAAUACCCCGCUGUUCUGACGGUACCCAAAGGAUAAGCACCGGCUAACUUCGU
RNAcentral lists this ribosomal RNA (491 nucleotides) under uncultured bacterium. RNAcentral's name for it is "partial 16S ribosomal RNA". It matches the Rfam family "Bacterial small subunit ribosomal RNA", at positions 29 to 506 of the family's 1533-position model. The record is from RNAcentral.